This 373-nucleotide ribosomal RNA is filed under the name uncultured Pseudomonas sp. RNAcentral's name for it is "bacterial SSU rRNA". It matches the Rfam family "Bacterial small subunit ribosomal RNA", at positions 1009 to 1382 of the family's 1533-position model. Lineage: Bacteria; Pseudomonadati; Pseudomonadota; Gammaproteobacteria; Pseudomonadales; Pseudomonadaceae. The record is from RNAcentral.
AUUGGUGGCCUUCGGGAACGUCUGACACAGGUGCUGCAUGGCUGUCGUCAGCCCGUGUCGUGAGAUGUUGGGUUAAGUCCGUAACGAGCGCAACCCUGUCCUUAGUUACCAGCACGUUAUGGUGGGCACUCUAAGGAGACUGCCGGUGACAAACCGGAGGAAGUGGGGAGUGACGUCAAGUCAUCAUGGCCCUUACGGCCUGGGCUACACACGUGCUACAAUGGUCGGUACAAAGGGUUGCCAAGCCGCGAGGUGGAGCUAAUCCCAUAAAACCGAUCGUAGUCCGGAUCGCAGUCUGCAACUCGACUGCGUGAAGUCGGAAUCGCUAGUAAUCGUGAAUCAGAAUGUCACGGUGAAUACGUUCCCGGGCCUU